AGUGGAAAAGGAUGUGGGGUUGCUUAGACAACCAGGAUGUUGGCUUAGAAGCAGCCACCAUUGAAAGAGUGCGUAAUAGCUCACUGGUCGAGUGACCCCGCGCCGAAAAUGUACCGGGGCUAAACAUAUUACCGAAACUGUGGAUGAACCUCUUUAGAGGUUCGUGGUAGGAGAGCGUUCUAAGGGCGGUGAAGUCAGACCGGAAGGACUGGUGGAGCGCUUAGAAGUGAGAAUGCCGGUAUGAGUAGCGAAAGAAGGGUGAGAAUCCCUUCCACCGAAUAUCUAAGGUUUCCUGAGGAAGGCUCGUCCGCUCAGGGUUAGUCGGGACCUAAGCCGAGGCCGAUAGGCGUAGGCGAUGGACAACAGGUAGAGAUUCCUGUACCAGUGCUAAUUGUUUAACCGAUGGGGUGACACAGAAGGAUAGGGAAUCGCACGAAUGGAAAUGUGCGUCCAAGCAGUGAGUGUGAGAAGUAGGCAAAUCCGCUUCUCGCGAAGCAUGAGCUGUGAUGGGGAAGGAAAUUAAGUACGGAAGUUCCUGAUUUCACGCUGUCAAGAAAAGCCUCUAGGAAGAGUAGUACUGCCCGUACCGCAAACCGACACAGGUAGAUGAGGAGAGAAUCCUAAGGUGAGCGAGAGAACUCUCGUUAAGGAACUCGGCAAAAUGACCCCGUAACUUCGGGAGAAGGGGUGCUCUAUUAGGGUGCAAGCCCGAGAGAGCCGCAGUGAAUAGGCCCAGGCGACUGUUUAGCAAAAACACAGGUCUCUGCAAAACCGUAAGGUGACGUAUAGGGGCUGACGCCUGCCCGGUGCUGGAAGGUUAAGAGGAGUGCUUAGCUUCGGCGAAGGUACGAAUUGAAGCCCCAGUAAACGGCGGCCGUAACUAUAACGGUCCUAAGGUAGCGAAAUUCCUUGUCGGGUAAGUUCCGACCCGCACGAAAGGCGCAACGAUCUGGGCACUGUCUCAACGAGAGACUCGGUGAAAUUAUAGUACCUGUGAAGAUGCAGGUUACCCGCGACAGGACGGAAAGACCCCGUGGAGCUUUACUGCAACCUGAUAUGGAAUGUUUGUACCGCUUGUACAGGAUAGGUAGGAGCCGAAGAGACGUGUGCGCUAGCAUACGAGGAGGCAAUGGUGGGAUACUACCCUGGCUGUAUGACCAUUCUAACCCGCCACGCUUAGCGCGUGGGGAGACAGUGUCAGGUGGGCAGUUUGACUGGGGCGGUCGCCUCCUAAAGAGUAACGGAGGCGCCCAAAGGUUCCCUCAGAAUGGAUGGAAAUCAUUCGCAGAGUGUAAAGGCACAAGGGAGCUUGACUGCGAGACUGACAAGUCGAGCAGGGACGAAAGUCGGGCUUAGUGAUCCGGUGGUUCCGCAUGGAAGGGCCAUCGCUCAACGGAUAAAAGCUACCCCGGGGAUAACAGGCUUAUCUCCCCCAAGAGUCCACAUCGACGGGGAGGUUUGGCACCUCGAUGUCGGCUCGUCGCAUCCUGGGGCUGUAGUCGGUCCCAAGGGUUGGGCUGUUCGCCCAUUAAAGCGGCACGCGAGCUGGGUUCAGAACGUCGUGAGACAGUUCGGUCCCUAUCCGUCGCGGGCGCAGGAAAUUUGAGAGGAGCUGUCCUUAGUACGAGAGGACCGGGAUGGACACACCGCUGGUGUACCAGUUGUUCCGCCAGGAGCAUCGCUGGGUAGCUAUGUGUGGCAGGGAUAAACGCUGAAAGCAUCUAAGCGUGAAGCCCCCCUCAAGAUGAGAUUUCCCAUUUCUUCGGAAAGUAAGAUCCCUGAAAGAUGAUCAGGUAGAUAGGUUUGGAGUGGAAGUGUAGCGAUACAUGGAGCGGACAAAUACUAAUCGAUCGAGGACUUAACCAAAA
This 1868-nucleotide ribosomal RNA is filed under the name Listeria monocytogenes. RNAcentral describes it as "partial 23S ribosomal RNA". It matches the Rfam family "Bacterial large subunit ribosomal RNA", at positions 1062 to 2925 of the family's 2925-position model. Lineage: Bacteria; Bacillati; Bacillota; Bacilli; Caryophanales; Listeriaceae. The record is from RNAcentral.